GUAAAUUUAAGUAAGCAUAAAAAGAAACAGAAAACCGUAUCCACCACCUUUAUUUCAUUUUAACAUAAGCAAAUCCACAUGCAUUAAUAAAUGUAAAAUGUAAAUUAAGAAGAAAAUAGCAAUACUUAAAGCUUCAAAUUAAUGUUUUCCCUCUUUCUACAAAUUCCUGAUCCCACAAAAUACAGAAAACUUGAAAUAUAUUUACUCAACAACAGAUUAACAAGGAAAGAAAAAAAUUUUGUAGAUCUCUUGACACGACUUUUCUCUUUCUCAAUUUUGACUAUUUUUUUUUUCACUCAACCUCUCCUCUUCUCGUUCUCUAAUCUCACUACUCACUCAAGUUGCCUCUUCUCUUCUCGUUCUUUAAUCUCACUGCACCAUUCAAGCUGCUUUAUCCUUUUUCAGGAUUUAUUUCUCAAAACAAUUACUUGUUUUUUCUUUGGUUUUGACUCCCUUUUGUAGCCAACGCUAAUCACCAACUUUAAACUAGAUUGACACUCAUUCUUUCUUCAUGCUACUCUUUCGUUCUAUCGUGCAAUCACCAGAUUCACCUAUUUUAAAUUUCUUCUUCCUUCAAGCUGCGUCAAGUCAUCAUCAACAUCGCACAUCAUAAUCAUUGUAUGCACUUCUCCUUUCUUCUCUUUGCUUCAAGUUCUAACAAAUCUCCAAGCCUAAAUAACUGAAAUCUUGCACAAAAUGUAAAGAAAACAAGAUAAAAUGUUACCUGAAAGGAAUGCAGAAUGAGAGAAUAAGAACCCUAGCCGACUUCUUUUGUUUUUAGAAUAAGAAAAAAAAAAAAAGGAACAAAUGUAUCUCUUUGCUAUUUA
This 827-nucleotide long non-coding RNA is filed under the name Carica papaya (papaya). RNAcentral's name for it is "long non-coding RNA (CPAP_LNC005713)". Lineage: Eukaryota; Viridiplantae; Streptophyta; Magnoliopsida; Brassicales; Caricaceae. The record is from RNAcentral.